This 480-nucleotide ribosomal RNA is filed under the name Epiplatys lamottei (redspotted panchax). Its description in RNAcentral is "partial 16S ribosomal RNA". It matches the Rfam family "Bacterial large subunit ribosomal RNA", at positions 1926 to 2551 of the family's 2925-position model. Lineage: Eukaryota; Metazoa; Chordata; Actinopteri; Cyprinodontiformes; Nothobranchiidae. The record is from RNAcentral.
AACGGCCGCGGUAUUUUGACCGUGCAAAGGUAGCGCAAUCAAUUGUCUUUUAAAUGAAGGCCCGUAUGAAUGGCAUAACGAGGGCUUAACUGUCUCCUUUUUUCAGUCAAUGAAAUUGAUCUUCCCGUGCAGAAGCGGGAAUGCUGACAUAAGACGAGAAGACCCUAUGGAGCUUAUAAACGCAAGAGCAGACCAUGUCACUUACUCUUAAUAUAUAAGAUUUUAAACCCACUGAUUCCUGCUCUAAUGUUUUUGGUUGGGGCGACCACGGGAUAAAACAAAACUCCCACGCAGAAUGAAAAUACAGUAUUUUUCAAUUUAAGGUCAACAGUCCUAAAAAACAGAAUCUCUGACUUUUAAUGAUCCGGCUUAAGCCGAUUAACGAACCGAGUUACCCUAGGGAUAACAGCGCAAUCCUCUUUUAGAGUCCUUAUCGACAAGAGGGUUUACGACCUCGAUGUUGGACCAGGACAUCCUAAU